Molecule: ribosomal RNA, 447 nt
Filed under: uncultured bacterium
Lineage: Bacteria
Description: bacterial SSU rRNA
Rfam family: Bacterial small subunit ribosomal RNA
Source: RNAcentral
UCGGGAAUUUUGGGCAAUGGGCGAAAGCCUGACCCAGCAACGCCGCGUGAAGGAUGAAGUAUUUCGGUAUGUAAACUUCGAAAGAAUAGGAAGAAUAAAUGACGGUACUAUUUAUAAGGUCCGGCUAACUACGUGCCAGCAGCCGCGGUAAUACGUAGGGACCAAGCGUUGUUCGGAUUUACUGGGCGUAAAGGGCGCGUAGGCGGCAAUUCAAGUCAUCUGUGAAAUCUCCGGGCUUAACUCGGAACGGUCAGAUGAUACUGCUUUGCUAGAGUGCAGAAGGGGCAAUCGGAAUUCUUGGUGUAGCGGUGAAAUGCGUAGAUAUCAAGAGGAACACCUGAGGUGAAGACGGGUUGCUGGUCUAACACUGACGCUGAGGCGCGAAAGCCAGGGGAGCAAACGGGAUUAGAUACCCAAGUAGUCCCUGAGCGGGCUGGCAAGGCGCAU